This 720-nucleotide ribosomal RNA is filed under the name uncultured Gemmatimonadota bacterium. RNAcentral describes it as "bacterial SSU rRNA". It matches the Rfam family "Bacterial small subunit ribosomal RNA", at positions 81 to 776 of the family's 1533-position model. Lineage: Bacteria; Pseudomonadati; Gemmatimonadota. The record is from RNAcentral.
GCUCUGUGAUCCGAGUGGCGAACGGGUGCGUAACACGUGACCAACCUGUCCUAGGGUGAGGGACAACCUGGGGAAACCUGGGCUAAUACCGCAUGACGUCCUAACCUCGCAUGGGGAUUGGACCAAAGAGGGCCUCUGCUUGCAAGCUCUCGCCAAAGGAGGGGGUCGCGGCGUAUCAGCUAGUUGGUGGGGUAACGGCCUACCAAGGCUACGACGCGUAGUGGGUCUGAGAGGACGACCCGCCACAUUGGGACUGAGAUACGGCCCAGACUCCUACGGGAGGCAGCAGUGGGGAAUAUUGCGCAAUGGCCGAAGGGCUGACGCAGCGACGCCGCGUGUGGGAGGAAGCCCCUCGGGGUGUAAACCACUGUCGGAGGGGAAGAACCCUGUCAUUUCGAAUAGGGAUGGCAGUUGACGGUACCCUCAAAGGAAGCACCGGCUAACUCCGUGCCAGCAGCCGCGGUAAGACGGAGGGUGCAAGCGUUGUUCGGAAUUACUGGGCGUAAAGCGCGGGCAGGUGGCCUGUUAAGUGUUCUGUGAAAACCCGGGGCUCAACUCCGUGGAGUGCAGAACAUACUGGCAGGCUAGAGACCAGUAGAGGCUAGCGGAAUUCCUGGUGUAGCGGUGGAAUGCGUAGAUAUCAGGAAGAACACCUGUGGCGAAGGCGGCUAGCUGGGCUGGAUCUGACACUCAUCCGCGAAAGCGUGGGGAGCAAACAGG